This 144-nucleotide small nuclear RNA is filed under the name Cebus imitator (Panamanian white-faced capuchin). Its description in RNAcentral is "U1 spliceosomal RNA (ENSCCAG00000019358.1)". Lineage: Eukaryota; Metazoa; Chordata; Mammalia; Primates; Cebidae. The record is from RNAcentral.
AGACUUGCCUGGCAGAGGGGGUACCGUGAUCACAAAGGUGGUUUUCCCAGGGCAAGGCUUAUCCGUUUCUGUAUUAGUCCAUUCUUCACAUCACUGUAAAGAAUGCCUGAGACGGGGUAAUUUAUGAAGAAGGUUAAUUGACUC